GAUGAACGCUGGCGGCGUGCCUAAUACAUGCCAGUCGAGCGAACGGACGAGAAGCUUGCUUCUCUGAUGUUAGCGGCGGACGGGUGAGUAACACGUGGAUAACCUACCUAUAAGACUGGGAUAACUUCGGGAAACCGGAGCUAAUACCGGAUAAUAUUUUGAACCGCAUGGUUCAAAAGUGAAAGACGGUCUUGCUGUCACUUAUAGAUGGAUCCGCGCUGCAUUAGCUAGUUGGUAAGGUAACGGCUUACCAAGGCAACGAUGCAUAACCGACCUGAGAGAGUGAUAGGCGACACGGGAACUGAGACAGGGUCCAGACUCCUACGGGAGGCAGCAGUAGGGAAUCUUCCGCAAUGGGCGAGAGCCUGACGGAGCAACGGCGCGUGAGUGAUGAAGGUCUUCGGAUCGUAAAACUCUGUUAUUAGGGAAGAACAUAUGUGUAAGUAACUGUGCACAUCUUGACGGUACCUAAUCAGAAAGCCACGGCUAACUACGUG
RNAcentral lists this ribosomal RNA (497 nucleotides) under uncultured bacterium. RNAcentral describes it as "partial 16S ribosomal RNA". It matches the Rfam family "Bacterial small subunit ribosomal RNA", at positions 28 to 507 of the family's 1533-position model. The record is from RNAcentral.